GACGAACUGUUCUAACGUUAUUCGGAAUCACUGGGCGUAAAGCGCGCGUAGGCUGUUUUGUAAGUCAGAGGUGAAAUCCCACGGCUCACCCGUGGAACUGCCUUUGAUACUGCAUUACUUGAGUUUGUGAGAGGAUAGCGGAAUUCCAGGUGUAGGAGUGAAAUCCGUAGAGAUCUGGAGGAACAUCAGUGGCGAAGGCGGCUAUCUGGCACAAUACUGACGCUGAGGUGCGAAAGCGUGGGGAGCAAACAGGAUUA
This 257-nucleotide ribosomal RNA is filed under the name uncultured prokaryote. RNAcentral's name for it is "partial 16S ribosomal RNA". It matches the Rfam family "Bacterial small subunit ribosomal RNA", at positions 524 to 780 of the family's 1533-position model. The record is from RNAcentral.